RNAcentral lists this ribosomal RNA (170 nucleotides) under Terapon theraps (largescaled terapon). RNAcentral's name for it is "partial small subunit ribosomal RNA". The record is from RNAcentral. Lineage: Eukaryota; Metazoa; Chordata; Actinopteri; Centrarchiformes; Terapontidae.
CACCGCGGUUAUACGAGAGGCUCAAGUUGAUAGAUCGCGGCGUAAAGCGUGGUUAAGGAAUAUUUUGAAACUAAAGCCGAAUGCCCUCAGAGCUGUUAUACGCUCCCGAUGGUUAGAAGCCCAAUUACGAAAGUAGCUUUACACAGCCUGAACCCACGAAAGCUAUGGCA